RNAcentral lists this transfer RNA (90 nucleotides) under Candidatus Enterousia avicola. RNAcentral's name for it is "tRNA-Ser". It matches the Rfam family "tRNA". Rfam says of the family: Transfer RNA (tRNA) molecules are approximately 80 nucleotides in length. Their secondary structure includes four short double-helical elements and three loops (D, anti-codon, and T loops). The record is from RNAcentral. Lineage: Bacteria; Pseudomonadati; Pseudomonadota; Alphaproteobacteria.
GGAUGGGUGGCAGAGCGGUCGAAUGCGACGGUCUUGAAAACCGCUGUGGGGGCAACUCCACCGGGGGUUCGAAUCCCUCCCCAUCCGCCA